RNAcentral lists this long non-coding RNA (5380 nucleotides) under Sus scrofa (pig). RNAcentral describes it as "lncRNA (ENSSSCG00000052765.1, ENSSSCG00090012219.1, ENSSSCG00110001851.1, ENSSSCG00130012267.1)". Lineage: Eukaryota; Metazoa; Chordata; Mammalia; Artiodactyla; Suidae. The record is from RNAcentral.
AAAAAAAAAAAUGAAGAAUAUCCAAAACUCAGCACUAAAAAAAAAGAAAUGAGAAUAUCUAAAACUCAGCAUUCUAAGUUUGGCCCCUCUCAUGCUUUUGCCAAAAAUGCUUUCAAGUCUCCUAGAAGCAUAUUUUCCUAAAAAAAAAAGGGGGGGGGAGGAUUUUUCUUUGACACUCUUGUGGCUGUUUAAUUAGAUGUUAAAACACGUAGGGGAGGAACACUUUCCUUUCCCAUGCUUUAUCCCUAUUUAGCAAAGGACAUGCCAUGUGUUUCUUAGACCAAAAAUACUUCCUCUAAUGUGCAUGGUGACCAUGUAAAGAAAAUCCUUGGUUCUCAACACUCAAUGGCUAGGUAACAUGGUAUCAGUUGUUCUCAUAAAAAUAUUUGAAAUUAACAGAAUGGUAAUUUUUGAAGAUAAACUUUUUAUCUCAAGGUGUUUUUUUAGGCCCUAAUUUUAUUUCUUUAAUUUUUUUUACCGCAUUGUUAAAUGGAAAGAUCAUAAAAAGUGUAUCAGUUUGGGCUUGCUUUGGGAUAUUUUCAUAUUAGUAUUUAAAUAACAUUUUUAAGAAAAUAAUAUGGUUAUGGAACCAUGUGAUGAAAUUGGCCCUUGUAAAGAUGGAGAUGCUUCUCAGUCAUUCUAAUUAAUGGGAUUGUUGCUUCUAGUUUAGAUAAACACAGGUAAUUAACUCCUAAAACUAGGGGAAAUUGCUUUAGUUUCUUCUUUUAAACUCUGCAGCAUAGAUUGGCCCACAGGUUUUAUAUGUUUGUGUUAUUAGGCUUUUCAUUAUGGUGUAUAUUUCUACAUUUACUCUAUCAAUAGUUUUUUUCAAAAUACAGAGCCAUGUUAGUGGCUCUUGCAUGUUUCCAAAUUCUAAUUUUGGGCAUAAACUAUUGAUUGCUCUUCAUUUUUCUCAUUUCCACAAAGUCAAGUGUGUUUUUUAGCUGGACACUGGAUAUGUAAGGCAUUAUCCGUGCUCUAAAAUAUCUUAUCUUCCAGGGUUGAGACAUGUAAAACAACACCAUAAAUGUGAUAUGCUGUAAAACAGGGUUUAUAUAAAGUUAUAGUUUACUUGCAAGAGAGAAAAUGACCUGCAAUUCAAGUAGGGUUCAUGGAGAAGCUAUUUGAACCAGGCCAUCACGAACGAGUAGACAUUUACCAAGUAGAAUGGAGACCUAUGUGCGCUAAACCGCGGUUUGCUUCUGUGGUGAUGCGAAGCCCCGUGGGGAUGAGGUUCGCUGGUUGGGGUGGGGGGCGGUGCGGGGGGUAAAGGGUCCUGGCGAGUCUGCAAAGCAGUUGGUAUCAACCAGCAGGAGCUUUGUAUCUGAUACCUAAUAUGAUAGUGAGUGUCAUUUCAGGAAACCUUUACCAGCCUUUUUGGAACCGUUUUCUCUUUUAGGUGCCUUAUCUAUUUUGUGAGCUUUGACGUUUCCACUGGUGCUCGUGCUUUGUGAUAGGAAAAAACCAGAGAGGAAUUUGCUAGGGAAGGGUUUGUCCUGGGGCCAGCUGGGGUGGGCAAAGCUCAUUAAGCUCAUGGUUUUGAAAGCACACACAUGAUUUAAUAGUUAUGAAAUGUGCCCAGGGACUUGAAGGACUCAAACACUGAGGGAUGGUUGUUGGAGUUUGCUGCCUGUGCUCCUGGGACAUUUGCUGUGCUGGGAAAUGGUGAAAAAGUGCUAAUGAAGGAUGCCAGCAGAACCCUCAGUGUCAGGCUGUCAUCCCGGGGAAGGUCUGGAGAGUGUAAUGAGGCGAACAAUCAAGCUCCUACAGUCUGAAAAGGUUAAAGAAGCUUCAGGGAUCGCUCUGUGUGCUUCUUGAGUAUUGGAAUGUCAUGCCAGUAAUAAGCAACGUGCAAUCCAGAGACAAAGAAGCAAUUAGUUCUCUGCAUCAGGGAAAGGCUGCCCAGCUUCAGAAUGGAUAGUGUGAAGCCUGUGAAUUCUUUUCCUUUGAGGUGGGACUGAGUCACAAAGACUCAAGCCAGUGGUGAGUGAAUCCUGUCAGUCUGUCAGCAGCAUUGACUGAAUUCUCACCAUUGGCAUACCAUAUAAUUAGGUUUAAACAAGCCCUCAACAUUUUAGAAUAAAUAACCUCUGAGGUCAAUGAGUAGCUUUGGGUUACUAGCCUAUCCAAACUCUACUAGGCAUUUGCUUAGGUUUAGAUUUGGAGCAGACCAGAAAUUUCCACAAAACAAAGGUUUUGACUUGGUCAGAGCAAGGAAACGAUGGGGGGAGGUGAUGUCAUGUCAUGAGACCAAGAAGUCUUCAAUUUUUGAAAUGAUUCUAUAUUUCAUCCAUGAUUUUGGUGUUCUUUAGAUUCCACUUGCAGUAUAUGACUGAACACCUGCCUUCUGCACUGGAGCUAUAAAUUUGAGAAUAGUUUGUUAGAAAAGAGUUCUCUCUCUAAGAUUUUAACCAUCUACAUGUUCUGCCCUAGACAGGGUACUAAAUGACAGCCCAGGACUCUUUCCACCAGUGGAAAACAUGGAAGAAAUAUCUCCAGCAUGUCUUCUCCACAGUCCAUCUAGGGAAGUCUCUCAAGGUAGAAGCAGAAACCUGGGGGAACGCAGGCUAUUGUGCACAUAAAACAUCCUUCCUGGCCAUCCUGAUUCCUUCCUGCUCCUGCCCCGGAUCCUUGCCUGUGUAAGAACUUCUGAGUCUCAAGCUUUGAGGUUUAUACUAUUAAAAUAUAAAGAAGGUGACUGAGACAAUAGUAACUGUAUCUAGCACUUUAUGAAGUGAACAGGCUCCAUCCAAAGAGCACAGUAAAAGUGGGGCAGAAGGCAGGAAGCUUUCAUAGGAUAAAUAAUGAAGAACAGGAAGAGAAAAGUAGAAAAGAUCUGAGUCACUGGGGCCACAUAAUCAACCUUGUUCCGGGUGAGAGGGAACAAGUACGUAAGUAUAGAGCCCACUGUUGGCCUAUAAAUAAUCUGCUUGAUAGAAACGUAGGGUAUUCCAUCAGCCAAAGGGGCACGAAAAGUUAUCUCAGAUUCGGAUUGCUGACAAAAAGUACCUGAGACAGGAGUGGCUCCAUCCUGGGCUUAGGAAGUUUUUCCACAAUUUGAAUCACCUUGGGAUCUUGUUAAAAUGAAGAUUGAGCUUCUGUAGGUGUUGAUAGGUAUUGAGAUUCUGCAUUUCUUUUAAGUGAUGCUGAUGGUCUUGAACUGUAGACCACACUUAAUGGGCACCUUUUGCACGCAAAUGUCCAGAGACAACACUUGAUGACUUUAUAGACCACUUGAAACCAGUUCUCUUCCAGGUGCUACUGAUUUUUAUUGAUAAGACAUAAUGUGGUACAACAAAGAAAAAUACGUCAUAGCGAGGGAGGUUUCAGAAAUGAGUAAAUAGGGUGCAAACCUGACCUUUCUGAGGAAAUAAAUCUUGGGGAGGAAACCACAUGAAAGAAGCAAGUGAUAUUUUGAAUCAGUAUUGAAACAUGAAUGCAGAUGGAGCUUGUGGCCUGGAGUUGAGAGUGGAUAAAAACAGCAUUUUGUAUUCUGGGGAUGUGAAUUACCUUCUAGGCCAGCCACUUCAGUGUUGUCCUGAAGUUCUAGUUAACAUGGCUUACUGAAAGGGAAGUGUAGCAUGUGUAAGCAUUUCAAGGCAACAAAUUGUGAGAGUUGCAAAGUAUUUUCAAAUAUUUGUGCUACUCAGCGAGUUUAUUAUUUGAUGUACCCAUCCCAAGUUGACAUGCUGGGGGGAGAGGGAGUAGAGUUUUUUCCCAGAGGUAAGUUUCCUAAAGAUGUAAAAAAAAAAAAAGGAUUUACCUUUGGGAAUGUGAGGCCUAAUUGUAAAUAGACUCUUGCCACAUUCCCAUCAGCAGUGCUGGAUUAGUUAAGAGCUUUACUUGUGGGUGCCAAAACACAUUUUUCAAAAAUGGCUGAAACUAUACAAUCAGCAACUUGGACAGAAAAUGACACAGAGAUCAGGGUCCCAUUUUUCUUUGUCCUUGUGCCCUCUGCUCAACUAAAUAACUUCUCCUGCCUAAGGAAGUGUUGAUUGUAUCCUUUACAUGUUUACAGAUAGUUCCCACCCUUGCAUUUGGCACUCUAAACAUAUUUUGCUUCUUUCCUCCUGCAUUCCUUUUUUUUUCUUUUUCAUUUUUCAUCAGAGAUCAAUACUUCCAGUUUCUACGAUUCUUUUUCUUUUUAGAAGUUAGAGAAGCUUCUUCUCAGGAAAACGAAAUACAAGAAACUUUUAAUAACGUUUGAAUGAAAUCUGGAACUGUCUAAAAAUAAGUCUUUGUACAGUGAUUUCAACUUGGCUGACUGCAAUACUAGUGUCUACUGAGGGUUGGUACUUUUAGAACUGAAUAUAAACUCAACUCCCCAAAGACAUCUGAGAAAGGUCUCAAACCAAGUGCUGCUUUAAAAUAUAGAUCACAUCUCUGUGUAGUUGUAUUCCUGUACCCUUUAGAAACAUUUCCUUUAGGAGUAGACAUCAGUGAAUACAAGCAAAUAGAAUAACACAGAAGCUAAAAUAUUCUUCUGACACCUAGGGCAGACACAUGUCAUUGAAAAAAAAAUCACAAUAAAGAAAACACUUGUCUAAAAAAUAUACUGUUACCCGAUUCUCUACCUUUCAGAAAGGUAAGAGUACCCAUUGCUGCAAAUCAAUGAAGCUCGCUUCAUUAUUUCAUAGGACAGUGGUGUUUCUCAAAGUGUGGUCCACUAACGUGGGAUAAUUGUUAAAAAAUGCAGAUCGCUGGGCCUAACCUCAGAUCUUCUGAAUGAGAAUCAUUCAAUUUGGCAUUUUCAGUGAACAUCGCUAGUUGAAUAUUGUGCACCUGAAGUUUGAAAACUCCUGGAAAACUAGGUUGAAGGGGAAAGUCUGCUGAAAGCUUCCCUUGGGGUUAGUAAGGAAGUUCUUUGAAGAGGGGUAGGUAAAAAUGAGUUGGCAGUGUCAUCUGUCUUUCCUUCUCACCCUCAAUUCCCAGAAACUUUUCUCAUACUCCGGUAUCCCGUGCAGUUUUGCUUGUAAAUUUAUCAAUUAGGUAAGAAAGUGGGAGUUUUCACUGUGGCUCAGUGAGUUAUGAACCCGACUAGUAUCCAUGAAGUUGCAGGUUCAAUCCCUGGCCUCGCUUAGUGAGUUAGGAAUCUGGCCUUGCGGUGAGCUGUGGUGAAGGUUGCGGAUGUGGCUCGGAUCCUGCUUUGCUGUGAUGUAGGCCGGUGGCUUCAUCUCUGAUUCUACCCCUAGCCUUGGAACUUCCAUGUGCUUCAGGUGCAGCCCUAAAAAGCAAAGUAAAAUAAAAUAAAAGCCCUGAAACUUUUCAUACUUUAGUUACAUAUUGACUUAGCGCUCAUAAAUAUCCCAAGGAUCUUAACAUUUUUUCAGUAUUUUUAAGUCCAUAAAGAGUAGAAAAAAGAGUGAACAAACUUUAUUUU